Carassius auratus (goldfish) is the source of this 1617-nucleotide long non-coding RNA. RefSeq lists it as uncharacterized. The record is from RefSeq and is a predicted model, not a curated record. NCBI's taxonomy places the organism in Eukaryota, Metazoa, Chordata, Actinopteri, Cypriniformes, Cyprinidae. The transcript is spliced from 5 exons.
GGAGGGGCCUCCUGUGCCUACUAGUAGGCUCAGAAGGCCGUGAUCAUCCAUCCAAAUGGUUGAUCACCCACCUCUUGCAAAUAUACAAGAGAAGACUCCAGAUCCAAUCCCAGAAUUCCUGCUCCCAGGUAAUCGGAAGUCUACUGGACGAAUGCGGGAACGUUGCGAUAUUUCCUGCUUAAUAUUUUCAGAUAUGGGAAAAGCACUUAAGAUGAGCACACGUUUCAGGAACGUUAAAAUUAAGUUGGUGAGGAGGUCUAUGGUGGGCCCUGCAAGUUUUCUUACCUCAGUCAAGGUCUUCCCCAGCCCAGCUACAAACAGACCCACCCUUCAGACCCUUCUAUUACAUCUCAACCUGCUGAACCUGAUGAUGCGACACAAGCUGUUCUGAGAGUGCAUACAGUAAGGCAAAGAAGAGAGAGCUUCAUGCCUGGGAUGCAGUCAAGGAUGAGAUGCUUAAGGUGUCGUUUGAAUGUUCAGCACCGAUCACUACCCAGUGUGCUGUCUGCCGAGAACAUGCUGAUUAUAGGUGCAUUGAGUGCAGCUCCACUGCAGUGUUCUGUGAGGUUUGCCUGAAGAGGAUUCACAGAAAUUUACUGCAUCUUCCUGAAAAGUGGAAUGUAAGAACAAUAGCAUACAGUCUUACAUUGCUAUUGCUAUACUUGCAUACAGACAGCAAACUCACAAAUGUUUACUAUGAGCCAUCGUCCCUGGGGUUAUUCUUAUAUUUACCUGAAGCCCAUGGCACCCAUGCUGUGUACACAAAGGACAUGAAGGUCAUUGUCAGCACAGGACGGCUCUGCACCGUUACAGUCAACAUGUGUGCGUGUGAACCAGAAACCUGCACUCUGCUAAGGUAUGGGCUCUGAUUAGACAGCCUUCUCCAUCCCUCUGCUAGAGCUUUCUGUUUCUCUGUCACUGGAGUGUCAGGUUUCUGUUGAGGGUUUUUCGCAACACCCCAUAUCCCAUUUUAGGCAUCACCACUUCCGACAAAGAAGUUUGGUUGAUAUUUGCCCACAAUUAAAUGAUGGCACCAUAUGCCCAGCAUGUCCAAAGGCGGAUGGAGAUAUGAUUGUCACAUUGGAUGCCAACUUUGGCCUUGUGAGGAAUCAAAGCUCUGGGACAAGUGCAGUUGAUCCAUUACACGGAACCCACGUGUUUGUUGAUGAAAAGGAUGUAGAGGAAUACCUGCUAUCACAUCUUGACAGCUCAAAGCCUCGAGGUUAAUCAUUGUUGCAGAAUUUCAUUCGAGUCCAUGAAAUAUUAAUUAAACUUGUGAAAAAAGAUCACUAUUCCCCUCAUAAAUCUAUGUUUUCCUUAAAUCUUUAGGACUGCAGUAAGCUGCUCUCAUUCAAGGUAUUAUAAUAUUAUAUAAUAUAAUUACUUUACUGCGUUACUUGUGCAGACAUGUUGUUUUACUAGGUCUGAUCUAUUUUAAAGCUUAGGCACUGUAUUUAAGCAUACAUAUACACCACUAGUCUGUCUGUAUGAGUACAAAAUUAAAAAAUAAACUGUCUAUAAUUGUUACUGUACAAGCACAGUAAAAUAUUUAUAUAAAAAAUAUUGCACUACUGUUAUUUUGCAUAGAAUACAUUGUUCAACAAUAUUUUUGCACAC